GACGAACGCUGGCGGCGUGCUUAACACAUGCAAGUCGAGCGGUAAGGCCCUUUCGGGGGUACACGAGCGGCGAACGGGUGAGUAACACGUGGGUGACCUGCCCUCAGCUCUGGGAUAAGCCCGGGAAACUGGGUCUAAUACCGGAUAUGACUCCAUGACGCAUGUUGUGGGGUGGAAAGCCUUGUGCGGCUGAGGAUGGGCCCGNGGCCCUAGUCAGCUUGUUGGUGGGGUGAUGGCCACCAAGGCG
This 247-nucleotide ribosomal RNA is filed under the name uncultured bacterium. RNAcentral's name for it is "partial 16S ribosomal RNA". It matches the Rfam family "Bacterial small subunit ribosomal RNA", at positions 28 to 275 of the family's 1533-position model. The record is from RNAcentral.